RNAcentral lists this ribosomal RNA (484 nucleotides) under uncultured bacterium. RNAcentral's name for it is "bacterial SSU rRNA". It matches the Rfam family "Bacterial small subunit ribosomal RNA", at positions 15 to 518 of the family's 1533-position model. The record is from RNAcentral.
GAUCCUGGCUCAGGAUGAACGCUGGCGGCGUGCCUAACACAUUCAAGUCGAACGAACCGUAGAAAUACGGUGAGUGGCGGACGGGUGAGUAACGCGUAAGCAAUCUGCCUUUGUGUGUGGAAUAACAACCGGAAACAGUUGCUAAUACCGCAUAACGCACAGAGAUCGCAUGUUUUUUGUGCCAAAGAUUUAUCGCACGAAGAUGAGCUUGCGUCCGAUUAGAUAGUUGGCGGGGUAACGGCCCACCAAGUCGACGAUCGGUAGCCGGACUGAGAGGUUGAACGGCCACAUUGGAACUGAGAUACGGUCCAGACUCCUACGGGAGGCAGCAGUGGGGAAUAUUGGGCAAUGGACGAAAGUCUGAACCCCCAGCGACGCCGCGUGAGGGAAGAAGGUCUUCGGAUUGUAAACCUUAGUCAACAGGGACGAAGCAAGUGACGGUACCUGUGGAGGAAGCCACGGCUAACUACGUGCCAGCCGCUGC